GGCUGGUCCAAAGGUAGUGAGUUAUCUCAAUUGAUUGUUCACAGUCAUUUACAGAUUGAAUUCCUUGUUCUACUCUUUCCCCCCUUCUCACUACUGCACUUGACUAGUCAUAA
This 113-nucleotide Y RNA is filed under the name Sapajus apella (tufted capuchin). RNAcentral describes it as "Cebus apella (Tufted capuchin) Y RNA". It matches the Rfam family "Y RNA". Rfam says of the family: Y RNAs are components of the Ro ribonucleoprotein particle (Ro RNP), in association with Ro60 and La proteins. The record is from Rfam by way of RNAcentral. RNAcentral also lists the same sequence under 1 other name. Lineage: Eukaryota; Metazoa; Chordata; Mammalia; Primates; Cebidae.